GCAGACACAUUCCAGCCAAUCAGCAGCAGACCCUCCCUCCCAGACCCUCCCAUCUCCUGGACAGCAUCCAUUGUGAAGCUGCAUUCUUAGUGAGCUGUCCAGGAGGUGGGAGAGUCUGGGAGGGAGGGUCUGCUGCUGAUUGGCUGGAAUGUGUCUG
Pelobates cultripes (western spadefoot toad) is the source of this 157-nucleotide non-coding RNA. NCBI's taxonomy places the organism in Eukaryota, Metazoa, Chordata, Amphibia, Anura, Pelobatidae. The record is from the annotation of a GenBank genome assembly.